GCUUCAUGUUCCGUUGUUAAAAGGAUUCGUGAUGUUGGGAUCAUCCUGAUAACAUCCCUGCCGCCAGAGUCCACCCCAGUGCUGUGCGCCUAAAGCAAGAGAGUUCCUGCUGGAUGAAUGAACAAGAAGUCCACAGGAGGCCCUCAAUGUUAACUCUCUUCCCCUAGAGAACAAUUCUCGCCUUUGUUGAAGCUAAGACCACUGAAAUGCAGGCUUGCAGGUUUCCAGGUUAGCGCUUCAGGGCACACCCCAGCCUUACCCUUCAGCUGUGUUCUAUCAUCUGCAGCAGCCUAGCCAUGUCGUUCUGCUGUUUUCCCAUCCUGGUUUCUCUGGAGGUGAGUUUAGUUUCUACUUCCUACUCGCCUCCGGGAUGAAAAGUCUCAUGUAUGGUAUUCUGCCCUGUGCUUUC
RNAcentral lists this long non-coding RNA (409 nucleotides) under Rhinopithecus bieti (black snub-nosed monkey). Its description in RNAcentral is "lncRNA (ENSRBIG00000045406.1)". The record is from RNAcentral. Lineage: Eukaryota; Metazoa; Chordata; Mammalia; Primates; Cercopithecidae.